Molecule: ribosomal RNA, 508 nt
Filed under: uncultured bacterium
Lineage: Bacteria
Description: partial 16S ribosomal RNA
Rfam family: Bacterial small subunit ribosomal RNA
Source: RNAcentral
AUUGAACGCUGGCGGCAGGCCUAACACAUGCAAGUCGAGCGGCAGCGGGAAAGUAGCUUGCUACUUUUGCCGGCGAGCGGCGGACGGGUGAGUAAUGCCUGGGAAAUUGCCCAGUCGAGGGGGAUAACAGUUGGAAACGACUGCUAAUACCGCAUACGCCCUACGGGGGAAAGCGGGGGACCUUCGGGCCUUGCGCGAUUGGAUAUGCCCAGGUGGGAUUAGCUAGUUGGUGAGGUAAUGGCUCACCAAGGCGACGAUCCCUAGCUGGUCUGAGAGGAUGAUCAGCCACACUGGAACUGAGACACGGUCCAGACUCCUACGGGAGGCAGCAGUGGGGAAUAUUGCACAACGGGGGAAACCCUGAUGCAGCCAUGCCGCGUGUGUGAAGAAGGCCUUCGGGUUGUAAAGCACUUUCAGCGAGGAGGAAAGGUUGAUGCCUAAUACGUAUCAACUGUGACGUUACUCGCAGAAGAAGCACCGGCUAACUCCGUGCCAGCCGCCGCGGUAA